Molecule: ribosomal RNA, 468 nt
Filed under: uncultured bacterium
Lineage: Bacteria
Description: partial 16S ribosomal RNA
Rfam family: Bacterial small subunit ribosomal RNA
Source: RNAcentral
GACGAACGCUGGCGGCGUGCUUAACACAUGCAAGUCGAACGGAAAGGCCCUGCUUUUGUGGGGUGCUCGAGUGGCGAACGGGUGAGUAACACGUGAGUAACCUGCCCUUGACUUUGGGAUAACUUCAGGAAACUGGGGCUAAUACCGGAUAGGAGCUCCUGCUGCAUGGUGGGGGUUGGAAAGUUUCGGCGGUUGGGGAUGGACUCGCGGCUUAUCAGCUUGUUGGUGGGGUAGUGGCUUACCAAGGCUUUGACGGGUAGCCGGCCUGAGAGGGUGACCGGCCACAUUGCGACUGAGAGACGGACCAGACUCCUACGGGCGGCAGCAGGGGGGAAUAUUGCAGAAUGGGCGGAAGUCUGAUGCAGCAACGCCGGGUGCGGGAUGACGGCUUUCGGGUUGUAAACCGAUUUGGACUGUGACGAAGAGUGAGUGACGGUAAUGGGUCAAGAAGCAACGGCUAACUACGUG